UGGGGAAUAUUGGACAAUGGGGGCAACCCUGAUCCAGCAAUGCCGCGUGUGUGAAGAAGGCCUGCGGGUUGUAAAGCACUUUCAGUAGAGAAGAAAAGCCUAAGGUUAAUAACCUUGAGUCUUGACGUAACCUACAGAAGAAGCACCGGCUAACUCCGUGCCAGCAGCCGCGGUAAUACGGAGGGUGCAAGCGUUAAUCGGAAUUACUGGGCGUAAAGCGCACGUAGGUGGUUUUGUAAGUCGGAUGUGAAAGCCCUGGGCUCAACCUGGGAAUUGCAUUCGAUACUGCUUAACUAGAGUAUGGUAGAGGGAAGUGGAAUUUCCGGUGUAGCGGUGAAAUGCGUAGAUAUCGGAAGGAACACCAGUGGCGAAGGCGACUUCCUGGGCCAAUACUGACACUGAGGUGCGAAAGCGUGGGUAGCAAACAGGAUUAGAUACCCUUGUAGUCCCUGAGCGGGCUGGCAAGGCGCAU
Molecule: ribosomal RNA, 472 nt
Filed under: uncultured bacterium
Lineage: Bacteria
Description: bacterial SSU rRNA
Rfam family: Bacterial small subunit ribosomal RNA
Source: RNAcentral